Molecule: long non-coding RNA, 113 nt
Organism: Haliotis rubra (blacklip abalone)
Lineage: Eukaryota; Metazoa; Mollusca; Gastropoda; Lepetellida; Haliotidae
Exons: 4
Source: RefSeq, a predicted model, not a curated record
GCAUGGGAAAUGGAAUAAAGGUGAGUUCCGUUUUGUGAUCAUUUUGUCAGUUACAGCUUAUAGCAUUCCGGAAUUCAAUCCAAUACAUGACACAACACUCAGUUCUGGCCAUG